RNA transcript from Mus musculus (house mouse), 3517 nucleotides. It is a transcript of the gene named tetratricopeptide repeat domain 13, with no coding region annotated. The transcript is spliced from 21 exons. The record is from RefSeq and is marked validated. NCBI's taxonomy places the organism in Eukaryota, Metazoa, Chordata, Mammalia, Rodentia, Muridae.
UGCCCGCGGCGGGCAGAGCAGGGCCGCGCCUGCGCCGUGCGGGAAGAUGGCACCUGCCGGCUGCGGCUGCGGCUGCUCGGGCAGCUUGGGUGCUGCGGUGGUGCGGCCGCUGCUCCUGCUGCUGGGGGCGCUGGCCUGCGCGCGGGCCACCGAGCACUACUCUCCGCUGUCCUUGCUGAAGCAGGAGCUUCAGCACCGGCAGCAGCAGGAGGCCCCGGCGGGCGGCGGCUGUCCGCAGUCGGGGGACUGGGCGGACCAGUACCCGGAGUGCGAGUCGUCAUUUUUGAACUUCCACGAGUCUGACUGCGAACUGAGAGGCUCAGCACCCUGUGACUCGCUGCUCUCUCUCAACACUGAAAAGAUUUUGAGCCAGGCCAAGUCUAUUGCAGAGCAGAAGAGAUUCCCAUUUGCUACCGACAAUGACAGCACCAAUGAAGAAUUAGCGAUUGCUUAUGUCCUGGUGGGCAGCGGUCUCUACGAUGAAGCCAUAAGACACUUUUCCACGAUGCUCCAGAUUCUGUCCCCUCUGGGACGAAUUAACGAAGCCGUAAAUGAUCUCACUAAAGCUAUUCAGCUUCAGCCCUCGGCACGGCUGUACCGACACCGGGGGACCUUGUACUUCAUAUCUGAGGACUACGCGACAGCCCACGAGGACUUUCAGCAGUCCUUGGAGCUGAACAGAAACCAGCCCACAGCCAUGCUGUACAAAGGCCUAACUUUCUUUCACAGAGGACUUCUGAAGGAAGCCAUCGAGGCCUUCAAAGAAGCUCUGAAACAGAAAGUUGACUUUAUCGAUGCAUAUAAAAGUCUGGGACAGGCCUACAGAGAACUGGGCAACUUUGACGCAGCCACCGAGAGCUUCCAGAAGGCCCUGCUGCUCAACCAGAACCACGUGCAGACCCUGCAGCUGCGGGGAAUGAUGCUCUACCACCACGGAAGCCUGCAGGAGGCCCUGAAGAACUUCAAGCGCUGCCUGCAACUGGAACCGUACAACGAAGUGUGCCAGUACAUGAAGGGGCUGAGCCAUGUGGCCAUGGGGCAGUUUUACGAAGGGAUUAAAGCACAAACCAAAGUUAUGCUGAAUGACCCUCUUCCAGGCCAGAAGGCCAGCCCAGAGUACCUGAGGGUCAAGUACCUACGAGAGUAUUCUCGAUAUCUGCACGCACACCUCGAUACCCCUCUGACGGAAUAUAACAUUGACUCGGAUCUACCGGGCAGCUUCAAGGACCACUGGGCCAAGAACCUGCCUUUCCUCAUAGACGGCUAUGAAGAGCAGCCCGGCCUGCAGCCUCACAUUAGAGAUGUGUUACAUCAGAAUUUCGAGGGCUACAAGCCUGAAGUCCAGGAGCUGAUCUGUGUAGCUGACCGCCUGGGCUCGCUGAUGCAGUAUGAAACACCGGGGUUCCUGCCCAACAAGAGGAUACACAGAGCCAUGGGCCUGGCAGCACUGGAAGUCAUGCAGGCCGUACAUCGUACCUGGACCAACUCAAAGGUUCGCAUGAAUGGAAAAACAAGGCUGCUGCAGUGGAGGGACAUGUUCGACAUUGCUGUGAAGUGGAGAAGAACACACUCAACUCCUGCUGCUCAGGAAAUAAAAGCGAGGGUUGCCAGGUUUCUAAGCCACCAGUUAGCCCUCUCUGGAACCACCAUUACAGCUGUUUCCUUGGUUGACUCUAACAUCCCACCAAGUUGACAGUUUAGACGAACCGUUACAGCUCACCAGCCUUUGCUGGCCUCUCGCCUGGUGUGGCCACACUGUGCACUGGGAUGGCCUGUGUGCUCUUUUUCACAAGUCGGAGCCAGUCGGGCUCCUCCCUCACUUUUACAGAGACCCAUCUUUGGUUUAUCCUGGAAGCUGUGGGUAAGGCCGCAGCACUCCUCAUGAGCUCUGCUCCACAGGAUCGCUGAUCCGGACCAGCCUGUCCUGUGGCUGGAUCAGAUGCCAGCUCCAAGUCUCAGCAGAGGGUUCAAUAACCACAUCAACUUAAUCAGGGGUCAAGUGAUCAAUAUGAGAUAUCUGGAAUAUUUUGAGAAAAUACUUCAUUUUAUUAAAGAUAGAAUUCUUGUUUAUCACGGAGCAAAUAAUCCAAAGGGCUUAUUGGAAGUCAGAGAAGCUCUGGAAAAGGUACACAAAGUGGAAGACCUCCUUCCAAUUAUGAAGCAGUUUAAUACCAAAACAAAGGACGGGUUCACCGUGAACACCAAAGUCCCCAGCCUCAAAGAUCAAGGGAAGGAAUAUGACGGCUUCACCAUCACCAUCACAGGAGACAAGGUCGGCAAUAUCCUAUUUUCUGUGGAAACUCAAACCACAGAAGAGAGGACACAGCUGUAUCACGCUGAAAUAGAUGCACUUUAUAAAGACCUGACAGCGAAGGGCAAAGUACUGACCCUCUCGGCAGAAUUCGGGGAGGCUGAUGCUGUCUGCAACUUAAUCUUAUCCUUAGUGUAUUACUUUUAUAAUUUAAUGCCCCUGUCUCGAGGAUCUAGUGUCAUUGCGUAUUCAGUCAUUGUGGGAGCGCUGAUGGCCAGUGGCAAAGAAGUGGCUGGGAAGAUCCCCAAAGGGAAGUUAGUCGACUUUGAAGCCAUGACAGCCCCUGGCUCAGAGGCCUUCAGCAAAAUAGCAAAAAGCUGGAUGAACUUGAAGAGUAUUUCCCCUUCCUACAAGACCCUGCCAUCAGUAUCAGAGACGUUCCCGACUCUGAGGUCCAUGAUCGAGGUGCUCAACACGGAUUCCACCCCACGGUGUCUAAAGAAACUCUAGCCAGAUCAGAGGAUUUAUACACAUGAAGGGCCAGGCCUCUCACUUCUUAAGUUAUUUUUUAAGACAUGGAAUUAUUAUGGAAUUAGGUCCUUUAUUACUUUUGAUACCAAUUUUUGAUAGGAAUUGAAUACUUGAAAACAUUUUCUUUACUUUUUCUGAACCGUAAGAGAAAUCAUGAAAACGGGUUUUUUGGGGAAAAGCUACUUGACCAGGAAGGGAAGUAUGCGUAUUAGUGGCAGCCUGUUGGUUCCCAUGUGUUAAGGUAUACUGCUCCUUCCUUACAGCAAAAAAAUGUUUACUUCAGAAACCAAAAAUUAAUAAUUAAGAUGAAGAAAGCCAACAACCAACAGGGCUUGUCUUCACUGUCAGAGGUGUGGGUGUUCCUCAGACCUCCUUCCUGUGCACCUCUGUGGGGUGCCUCGCUACUGCCAUGCCCCCACAUGUGGGCCCUCCAGCCCCCCUAGAACUGUGGAAGGGCCCCAGCACCCACGGUUCCAUGGCUUGUGACAAGAAGCACUGGCCAGAUGACAGACAGUAUUUGCCAAUCACUGAACCAUAUUUUUCUUUUCUUUGUUGGAAAAAAUAAGCCGAGGUGAUUUCUGAAAGUCGCCAUGUUCAGGCACUGGAUUACGUUGUGUUUGUGUGCGAGCUAGUUUUGCUUUCAGGUGUAAGAGCGUUUAGAACGUUUCUUGUUUCCUCAGACAGGGUGGAAGAUGGAGGAAUAAGGUCCAUUAAAGGCUGCAGUUUCAAACCGUG